CACGUAGGGCGCAAGCGUUGUCCGGAAUUAUUGGGCGUAAAGAGCUCGUAGGCGGACUGUCACGUCUGCUGUGAAAAGCUGGGGCUUAACCCUGGCCUUGCAGUGGAUACGGGCAGACUAGAGGUAGGUAGGGGAGAAUGGAAUUCCCGGUGUAGCGGUGAAAUGCGCAGAUAUCGGGAGGAACACCGGUGGCGAAGGCGGUUCUCUGGGCCUUACCUGACGCUGAGGAACGAAAGCGUGGGGAGCGAACAGG
This 253-nucleotide ribosomal RNA is filed under the name uncultured bacterium. Its description in RNAcentral is "partial 16S ribosomal RNA". It matches the Rfam family "Bacterial small subunit ribosomal RNA", at positions 524 to 776 of the family's 1533-position model. The record is from RNAcentral.